Molecule: ribosomal RNA, 323 nt
Filed under: uncultured eukaryote
Lineage: Eukaryota
Description: partial 18S ribosomal RNA
Rfam family: Eukaryotic small subunit ribosomal RNA
Source: RNAcentral
CCCUUAGAUGUCCUGGGCAGCACGCGUGCUACAAUGAUGCAUUCAACGAGUCCUGCCUUAACCGAAAGGUUCGGGUAAACUUUUGAAAUUGCAUCUUGUCGGGGCUUGAUCAUUGUAAUUUUUGAUCACAAACAAGGAAUUCCUUGUAAAUGUGAGUCAUCAACUUGCAUUGAAUACGUCCCUGCCCUUUGUACACACCGCCCGUCGCUUCUACCGAUGAAUGAUCCGGUGAACACUCUGGACUUGUUGUCUGUCGGAGCAAUCCAAAGACGAUAGGGAAGUUGUGUAAACCUUAUCAUUUAGAGGAAGAAGAAGUCGUAACA